GAUGAACGCUGGCGGCGUGCCUAAUACAUGCAAGUCGAGCGAACAGACGAGGAGCUUGCUCCUCUGACGUUAGCGGCGGACGGGUGAGUAACACGUGGAUAACCUACCUAUAAGACUGGGAUAACUUCGGGAAACCGGAGCUAAUACCGGAUAAUAUAUUGAACCGCAUGGUUCAAUAGUGAAAGACGGUUUUGCUGUCACUUAUAGAUGGAUCCGCGCCGCAUUAGCUAGUUGGUAAGGUAACGGCUUACCAAGGCGACGAUGCGUAGCCGACCUGAGAGGGUGAUCGGCCACACGGGAACUGAGACACGGUCCAGACGCCUACGGGAGGCAGCAGUAGGGAAUCUGCCGCAAUGGGCGAAAGCCUGACGGAGCAACGCCGCGUGAGUGAUGAAGGUCUUCGGAUCGUAAAACUCUGUUAUUAGGUAAGAACAAAUGUGUAAGUAACUAUGCACGUCUUGACGGUACCUAAUCAGAAAGCCACGGCUAACUACGUG
RNAcentral lists this ribosomal RNA (497 nucleotides) under uncultured bacterium. Its description in RNAcentral is "partial 16S ribosomal RNA". It matches the Rfam family "Bacterial small subunit ribosomal RNA", at positions 28 to 507 of the family's 1533-position model. The record is from RNAcentral.